This 497-nucleotide ribosomal RNA is filed under the name uncultured bacterium. RNAcentral's name for it is "partial 16S ribosomal RNA". It matches the Rfam family "Bacterial small subunit ribosomal RNA", at positions 28 to 507 of the family's 1533-position model. The record is from RNAcentral.
GAUGAACGCUGGCGGCGUGCCUAAUACAUGCAAGUCGAGCGAACGGACGAGAAGCUUGCUUCUCUGAUGUUAGCGGCGGACGGGUGAGUAACACGUGGAUAACCUACCUAUAAGACUGGGAUAACUUCGGGAAACCGGAGCUAAUACCGGAUAAUAUUUUGAACCGCAUGGUUCAAAAGUGAAAGACGGUCUUGCUGUCACUUAUAGAUGGAUCCGCGCUGCAUUAGCUAGUUGGUAAGGUAACGGCUUACCAAGGCAACGAUGCAUAGCCGACCUGAGAGGGUGAUCGGCCAAACUGGAACUGAGACACGGUCCAGACUCCUACGGGAGGCAGCAGUAGGGAAUCUUCCGCAAUGGGCGAAAGCCUGACGGAGCAACGCCGCGGGAGUGAUGAAGGUCUUCGGAUCGUAAAACUCUGUUAUUAGGGAAGAACAUAUGUGUAAGUAACUGUGCACAUCUUGACGGUACCUAAUCAGAAAGCCACGGCUAACUACGUG